UAGCAUGAGAUCAUGAGGGAAACCUAGACCCUAGUUUAUGACAAGAAUUAUAGAGGAGAAAGUGUAUUUGAGAUUGAUGUUUGAAGGUGAAACAACUUAUCCAUCAGCUAUAAUGAAGCUGUUUUGUUGCUGCCCUUAAAUAAGACUUGUUGAGCUGUAAUAGCCCACAAGCAAUGAUCUUGACAAUUACAGCCAUGCCAGAGGACUGCAGGUAACAGAAAACUUCUGGAUCCACAUUACUAAACUAACUGAACACAGUCUACGAAUUUCUGGUCAAAUUUGAUACCUACCCAUAUCAAGUCCCAAGCUUGAGAUGGGGUGUGAGGCGCCAAGCCGCCAACAGAUAUAGAACACAGAUAAUUAUAAAAACAAAUAUAAAUAAAAUAGCCCCAUCAGGUUGCUUAAACAAAGGGGAAGGUAAACGAACAGGAAACUCGAUUCUCAUACCGCUUCUCUUUCUAGCCUCGCCGUCCUUUGCCUCUAUCAAAGUCUCUUUCUUUCUAUCUAGAAAGUCUUCAAACGUGUACCCAAAAUUCUUUUCACCUACCCCUCUGUCUCCUUUUCAAUAUCCAGUUUUUUGUGUUAAAAUGGCCAAAGGGAAAUCACUUUACUUCAUUGCAGUCCGUAAGUCCGCAGAAUUUUAGGAUUUGUAUGUAUUUUGCUGGGUCCAUGGUUCCAUGAAUCCAUGCCCCCACAACCAUUCUCGUCGACCUUCUUGACAAUGUCGUAUGGGGUUUCACCAAAACACACCUCCAACAACCACAUCACCAACAACCCUUCUAUUUCUUUCUCGUGAUUUCUUCCGCUGCUCUGUUGUUUUCUUGUAUGCAUUUACAUUGUGAAAGUUGAGAUUUUUUAUUGUCUCUCAUGGCUUUGAGGGCCGCUGGAACCAUCUGGAUUAACCCAAUAAGACCUCUUUCGAAUGUGGGCGGGUCGGAUUUGGUGUAUAGGCGUUGUGAGUUUGGCUAUGGUUUGAGGUGCAAUUGGGAUUUUGAUAGGUUCCCUGAGCGGGAACGUUGUCGUUUGGCUGUUUUGGCUCAGAGAGUUAUCACUCCUGUUAAAGAUGAUGAGAAGCCCUUCACUCCUGAGGUGGAGCCUUCUGGGGCAAUUGAUAAGGUUCAGGACACCGAGUCCAGAGUCUUUCACAAGGAUUUGAACCUUCUACCUAAACCAUUAUCAGCAACAGAUCUUUCUGCAUCUCGCAAUGACAGCAUAAAAGUACGGGUUGCUUAUCAGGGAAUAUCAGGAGCAUAUAGUGAGGCUGCUGCACUAAAAGCAUACCCCAAGUGUGAAACUGUCCCAUGUGAACAUUUUGAAGCUGCAUUCAAGGCUGUUGAACUCUGGUUAGUGGAUAAAGCAGUCCUCCCCAUUGAGAAUUCAGUUGGUGGCAGCAUCCACCGCAAUUAUGACUUACUCCUUCGCCAUAGGCUGCAUAUAGUAGGAGAGGUGCAAAUGGCAGUCAACCAUUGUCUGUUGGGAUUGCCUGGUGUACGAAAGGAGGAGUUGAAACGUGUUUUGAGCCACCCCCAGGCCCUUUCCCACUGUGAGAUGGCAUUGACCAAGUUAGGUGUUGUAAAAGUUACCACUGAUGAUACAGCUGGUGCUGCUCAGAUGGUAGCUACCUGUGGCAUCAGAGAAACGGGCGCCAUUGCAAGUGCUCGAGCAGCGGAAAUCUAUGGUCUUGACAUUCUUGCUGAAAAAUUCCAGGACAAUGACGAUAAUGUUACCCGCUUUUUGAUACUUGGAAGAGAACCUAUAAUUCCUGGAACUGACAGACCCUAUAAGACGAGCAUUGUUUUCACCCUUGAAGAAGGUCCUGGUGUUCUGUUCAAAGCACUGGCAGUGUUUGCUUUGAGGGGCAUUAAUUUGUCAAAGAUAGAGAGCCGCCCACAAAGAAAUCGUCCUUUAAGGGUGGUUGAUGAUUCUAACAAGGGAAGUGCCAAGUAAGUGAUAAAAUUUUGGGUAAAGAUUUGCAAGGUUGGAUGUGAACUAUCCUACCUUUUGCGGGUAUACACUGGUAGACUAUUUGGAUGCAAGUCUAGGUGAAUAGAUAGGAAAGAAUCAACCAACUGGAAUUGAAAAGCAAAUUAAACAUUGCCUUAGCCAGGAAGAAAAGAUCAAAUGUAAGUAAUGAUAGCAACACUCAGAAGCAUGUAACAACUAUAUUUUUGAUGUGCCUACUAAAAUUUGUAAGUUGUAAAAGAGCAUUUUGCACAACAAAAAUUAGCAUCAAUAGGAUAAUAAUGUUUUUUUUUUCCAUCAAAAAGAAAAAAAAAGGUAAUUGGCACCUUGUUCUUUUAUUAACCGUGUUGAAUUGUAUUGGAAUUUCUGUGAAAUAAUGAUGCACUUCUGAAAGUAAUGUUCAAUGAUUUGAUGCUAUUGAUGAAGAACAAACUCAUUCCAUUUCAUAAAACACAAUUGUAUGUGGUGCAUUGUUCAGAAAACAUAUUGUUCGCUUCAGAGUUUACUAAAAGACAAGUUCUCUUUCACAAUUUGGUGCUUAAAAAGAUACUAAUUAUCCUUUUACUGCUGCAUCUUACGCUUUCAUGUAUGUCAAUUGCAAACUAUGGGCCUCCACUCAACAAACCUGAAAUAUAACUAUUUAGCUAAGUUUUUGCUUUUGCAUUCCUGGGAAACUGAAAUGGUAGAGAGUAUCAAAUUCAAAUUUUUUUUCUUUCACAACAACUUUUUGUCCAUAUUACUGUUUAUGCAACCCUGUGUGUGUGUAAAUGUGUAUAUAAGUUAUAUUUGAGAUUUUGGAGUAUGGUAAAUUUAUUUGUCUUUGCUAUACCAGUGAUGUAUUUCCUGUGGCAGGUACUUUGACUACCUUUUCUA
RNAcentral lists this unclassified non-coding RNA (2835 nucleotides) under Hevea brasiliensis (rubber tree). The record is from RNAcentral. Lineage: Eukaryota; Viridiplantae; Streptophyta; Magnoliopsida; Malpighiales; Euphorbiaceae.